UACGAAGGGGGCUAGCGUUGCUCGGAAUGACUGGGCGUAAAGGGCGCGUAGGCGGCUCAUACAGUCAGAUGUGAAAUUCCUGGGCUUAACCUGGGGGCUGCAUUUGAUACGUGUGGGCUUGAGUGGGGAAGAGGGUCGUGGAAUUCCCAGUGUAGAGGUGAAAUUCGUAGAUAUUGGGAAGAACACCGGUGGCGAAGGCGGCGACCUGGUCCUUGACUGACGCUGAGGCGCGAAAGCGUGGGGGCAAACAGG
Molecule: ribosomal RNA, 252 nt
Filed under: uncultured bacterium
Lineage: Bacteria
Description: partial 16S ribosomal RNA
Rfam family: Bacterial small subunit ribosomal RNA
Source: RNAcentral